RNAcentral lists this transfer RNA (70 nucleotides) under Streptomyces nigrescens. RNAcentral's name for it is "tRNA-Trp". Lineage: Bacteria; Bacillati; Actinomycetota; Actinomycetes; Kitasatosporales; Streptomycetaceae. The record is from RNAcentral.
CGGCGGGUCGGCGAGGGCGCCGAGCUCCUCCAGGGAGGCCUGCUUGUGUUCCAUGCGCAGCCGGCCGGCC